CUAGCUCGGUUUGAAUCCUUUGCCAUUCUGAGUUUAAUUUUUGCCAUCCACCCAUGUGUUAGGAUUGGAAUAAAUGUAGUUAAACUGUAUGUGGUGGAGAAAGGUUUUCCCGUGGAUUGAAUUUGGCCUUAGGGUUGAAUUCAGAAUCCGUAGGCCAGCCCUUUACGUAAGGCCAAAGGCAGGGGAUUAGUGGGAAUGUGCUCUGUUAAAACUGUGCGAUUUUCAGCGACACCCCUGAAAUCCCCAUUGACUUUGCAGUCCCUGUGUUUUAAUAAAUUACUAUGUGUCUGCAGGUUCCUCUUCAGGUCUGCAUGAAGUCACACAUGCUGUAGAAUGAGUUCGUGAUCUCUCUCCUACUCCUCUCUUCUCCCCACCCCUGUAUGAUUUGGUGACUUGUUUCAGGGCACGCAGGGAGUGUGCUGCAGAGCUCGGAAGCUAACGCAGGAGUUCUGACGCUUAAUUUUGCCCUUUAAUCCAGUAGAUUCUACUCCCAGCUCUGGGAGAGCAAAGCCCUAAGACCCAUUCCUUCUGUCGUAGGCAAACCAUCAUAAACAGCACUACUAGUGGUUGGGUACUUCAUAACCUGUGAGUGAUCCCAGACUGCAACUUUUACCUGAUCUGUAGCACCAUCUCCUUGCACUUAUCAUGAUAAAGAGAGCCAACAAUUUUUAUGCAGGUCAGAAAGAUACCCAAGAGCCCAGUAUCUAUGAAGCCUCAAAGGAUUUCAGACUGAAAAUGGAAUUGAUGAGCUGGGAGGAAACGGUUGCUUUGAGAAAUGCCACGUUCCAGAUAUGGGGCUCAGUGAGCUGAUUGUGAAGAGGCUGGAGGAUGAAGACUGACUCCCCACCCCCAUGAAAUGAUCGGGGCUAAAGUGGAAAAAUGAAGUACUGUAACUGAAUCUUGAAAAUGGUCUGUAAUGAAACAUCCUGGACCUGAGCCCCAAGGACAGUAGGGUGCAAGAACUCUGAAGACAAGAUUGGCUGGUUUCGCUUCUUCCUCACCCUGGAUCCCUUAUAGGAAUCACAGAUGGAUGAUUUGAGAUGAGCCUUAAAGGAAAGGAAAAUGUAUCUUUCUCUCCACCAGCAUCAACUGUAAGAGAGAAUUUGGGGCCUGAAGAUUAAAAGAUUUGCCCUGUCUCCGAUCUGCAUUACAAGGACUCUGAAGUUAUGUCCAGGAAAGGCUAUACUAAAAACAGGAUAAAUAAUAAAACUAGAUUGAAUGGAUGUGUAAAAGUUGGGUGUUCUUGUACAAAAGGGCAGUGGUAGCACAGGGGGAAAUGGAGCUUUCUCAACUCUAAUGCACUGGUCUGAAUUCAGCCCAGGUCAGUAGUGGCUGUAGUUGGGAUUUUCACAGAAGAUUUAAGGGAGUUAGAUGCCGUGCUGCAUUAGGCUUCUUUGAAAAUCCCAUCUUUAAUCCAUUGCAAUUUUCAGUUGCCCUUUCUGUGAAAUGAGUUAGGGCUUGAUCUCAUGUCUGAGAUACAAUAUCUGUCCAGGUAUUUUUAAAACUCGUACAAAAUUGAGGAUCAGGAUGGUUAACCAACAUUGAUCUAUUUACCCGUAUCCAAAAUUACUUUCCACUCUUCCGUGAAUUGACUCCAUCAUGUCCACUAUCUGUUUUCUACUACCAACACCAUUUAGGUUAGGCUGAGAUUUUUCAGAUGCACUCAGGGUUUGGACACCCAGUUCCCAUUUUAAAAAAAAUAAUGGGAAUUUAACAGGCAAAUCUCAUAGAUUUGAAAAUCUUAACCUAAAUGUAUUUAAACCAUGUCUCCCCGACCCUACAGGUGCACACUCCUCUGACACCAGCUCAGACCUUUAUUUCAUGCUUGGAAUGUUGGCAUCCUCUAUCAUCCUGUUUUCUCUUCACCCCAAAUAAACAGAUGUAGAUCCUUUCCCUAUUGAGCUGGGGGCCACCACUGCAGUCCUGCUACAUCUUGCAGCUGUUGUGCUGAACAGCUGGGAGGCAGCGAGAGAGAUGGAGCUGAGAGGCAAUGCUAUGUGAAACAAAUUCAGCAACAUGUGGUUUUGAGUUUAGAUAGCCAGGGGAGUUACACUUAAGUCAGGACAAAUUUUCAGUGGCAUGAGCAGAGAUGCCAAGCUGGACCCUCAAAACCAGGGCCAUCCCAGAAAACAUGGGCCAUUUGGUCAUCAAGAGUUUGAACUAGCUUUUGGGGGUUCAGCUGAACACAAGAAACAAGCAUUUCCCCAAAAUCAUGUACUUAAAAUUAAACCAGCAUGAAUCUUAAAAA
Molecule: long non-coding RNA, 2248 nt
Organism: Chrysemys picta bellii (western painted turtle)
Lineage: Eukaryota; Metazoa; Chordata; Testudines; Emydidae
Source: RefSeq, a predicted model, not a curated record